Molecule: ribosomal RNA, 585 nt
Filed under: uncultured bacterium
Lineage: Bacteria
Description: partial 16S ribosomal RNA
Rfam family: Bacterial small subunit ribosomal RNA
Source: RNAcentral
UGGGGAAUUUUGGAUAAUGGGCGAAAGCCUGAUCCAGCAAUGCCGCGUGUGUGAAGAAGGCCUUCGGGUUGUAAAGCACUUUUGUCCGGAAAGAAAUCCUUGGCUCUAAUACAGUCGGGGGAUGACGGUACCGGAAGAAUAAGCACCGGCUAACUACGUGCCAGCAGCCGCGGUAAUACGUAGGGUGCAAGCGUUAAUCGGAAUUACUGGGCGUAAAGCGUGCGCAGGCGGUUUGCUAAGACCGAUGUGAAAUCCCCGGGCUCAACCUGGGAACUGCAUUGGUGACUGGCAGGCUAGAGUAUGGCAGAGGGGGGUAGAAUUCCACGUGUAGCAGUGAAAUGCGUAGAGAUGUGGAGGAAUACCGAUGGCGAAGGCAGCCCCCUGGGCCAAUACUGACGCUCAUGCACGAAAGCGUGGGGAGCAAACAGGAUUAGAUACCCUGGUAGUCCACGCCCUAAAACGAUGUCAACUAGUUGUUGGGGAUUCAUUUCCUUAGUAACGUAGCUAACGCGUGAAGUUGACCGCCUGGGGAGUACGGUCGCAAGAUUAAAACUCAAAUGAAUUGACGGGGUCAUAGCUGUUUCC